AGCUUUUCUCAUUCAUGCCGAGAUUUCCUCAGACACCAGACCAUUAGAACUGAUGAGACUUCAAAGAUAAGUGAAAGUG
Molecule: microRNA precursor, 79 nt
Organism: Schistosoma mansoni
Lineage: Eukaryota; Metazoa; Platyhelminthes; Trematoda; Strigeidida; Schistosomatidae
Rfam family: mir-3492 microRNA precursor family
Source: Rfam